CACGUAGGAGACUAGCGUUAUUCGGAUUUACUGGGCGUAAAGCGCGUGUAGGCGGUUCGGUAAGUUGGAUGUGAAAGCUCCUGGCUUAACUGGGAGAGGUCGUUCAAAACUACCGGACUUGAGAGUGGUAGAGGGAGUUGGAAUUCCGGGUGUAGUGGUAAAAUGCGUAGAUAUCCGGAAGAACACCAGUGGCGAAAGCGGACUCCUGGACCAUUUCUGACGCUCAGACGCGAAAGCUAGGGUAGCGAACGGGAUUAGAAACCCUAGUAGU
This 271-nucleotide ribosomal RNA is filed under the name uncultured archaeon. Its description in RNAcentral is "partial 16S ribosomal RNA". It matches the Rfam family "Bacterial small subunit ribosomal RNA", at positions 524 to 794 of the family's 1533-position model. The record is from RNAcentral.